This 500-nucleotide ribosomal RNA is filed under the name uncultured bacterium. RNAcentral describes it as "partial 16S ribosomal RNA". It matches the Rfam family "Bacterial small subunit ribosomal RNA", at positions 30 to 523 of the family's 1533-position model. The record is from RNAcentral.
AUUGAACGCUGGCGGCAUGCCUUACACAUGCAAGUCGAACGGCAGCACGGGAGCAAUCCUGGUGGCGAGUGGCGAACGGGUGAGUAAAGUAUCGGAACGUGCCCAGUCGUGAGGGAUAACGUAGCGAAAGUUACGCUAAUACCGCAUACGAUCUAUGGAUGAAAGCGGGGGAUCGCAAGACCUCGCGCGAUUGGAGCGGCCGAUAUCAGAUUAGGUAGUUGGUGGGGUAAAGGCUCACCAAGCCGACGAUCUGUAGCUGGUCUGAGAGGACGACCAGCCACACUGGGACAGGUACACGGCCCGAACUCCGACGGGAGGCAGCAGUGGGGAAUUUUGGACAAUGGGCGAAAGCCUGAUCCAGCCAUGCCGCGUGCAGGAUGAAGGCCUUCGGGUUGUAAACUGCUUUUGUACGGAACGAAAAGGUUUGGCCUAAUAAGCUGAGCUCAUGACGGUACCGUAAGAAUAAGCACCGGCUAACUACGUGCCAGCCGCCGCAGUAA